Molecule: long non-coding RNA, 933 nt
Organism: Numida meleagris (helmeted guineafowl)
Lineage: Eukaryota; Metazoa; Chordata; Aves; Galliformes; Numididae
Exons: 4
Source: RefSeq, a predicted model, not a curated record
AUCUGUCUGGGGUGGAAGUAAUGACAUCUGGUUCAUAAGGGUGCAUCUUGAGCAACAGCUGAAGACUAUGUGUAUUAUUACAUAGUUUUAAUGACACAAGCUCACUUAUGUGAUAAAGCUGUGAUUUUAGCAGGAACACCUUGCUCUACAGAGGGAGAAGCAGCACAUCACUUCCUCCACACCAUGGCUUACAAUGCUCUGCAAUGAGACUUGUAGUGUCAACACAAGUUGAGAAAUAAGCAGAGCAGCGUACAGAGAGCCACACACAUACUACCGUGCAUGCUGCACCAAUCAUGCAGAUUUCAAAUUCAUGGAUGAACCAAUAUCACUUUUUAUUAAAUGGUUGUGCCUAUCUGCUUUUGGAAUGACAAGAAAUCUUGAAGAGAGGAACUUCCAGGUGGUUUUCUAAUAGCAAAGAAAUGACAACAGGUCAAAUUUCCAUUUACGUCCCCUAAGCCACCACUACUAUAUAUUCAGGGCAUUCAGAAGGUCCACUGUGGAUGCUAAGAAAGAUACGUGUUCCUAAAAAUGUGCACACAAAUUUAGACACAUUAUGUCCUCAGCCUUCAAAUAUCAGUUUAAUAAGCAAAACUGUUUCAAGCACUAUUGUAAUUCAAUCUAACAAUAAUGUAAGAUUUUUCUGAACUCUCCACUGGCUGAAAAGUACUGAUGUUCGACUGUCAUCUCACUGAAAUGUCCUGGUAGACAUCUAAGCCUUCUGACAUAUUGCAAAUAAAAUCUCUUUCACUGGUUUGUCCACACAAGAGAGACAUCUUUUAGAGUAUGCAGCCUCACUGCUCCUCUGAUACAAGAAAAGAACUACACAGGCAGCAGCUCAGAGAGGGUAUCUGCUCCUGUUGUGUGACUUCUGGUGGGGAGGAGUUUCCCUCUUUUUUUUCAGUGUCACAGAACACAGCUUGUUUUCUGGGAGCC